CAACCCUCAAGCUCUGCUUGGCCUUGGGCCGUCACCGGUAACGGUCGGGACCUCAAACCCAGUGGCGGUGCCGUCUGGCUCUAAGCGUAGUAAUUCUUCUCGCUAUAGACGUCCGGCGGAUACUUGCCAGUAACCCCCAACUUUCUUAAGG
This 151-nucleotide unclassified non-coding RNA is filed under the name uncultured Pseudaegerita. RNAcentral describes it as "sequence contains ITS2". Lineage: Eukaryota; Fungi; Ascomycota; Leotiomycetes; Helotiales; Hyaloscyphaceae. The record is from RNAcentral.